UGUAGGCUCACCGGGAAGUGUGAGGAAAGGAGGUGGAGGAGGAAGAGAAAAUUCAGCCAUCCUCGUCGCCAAAUGUUGUGUAUAAAAAGGACACUGGAGGAGAGGUUUAUGCACGCAACUCACUUUACUUUCAACAAACCGAAACUGACAAUUUCAAACAAAAACAGCUGCAUACUCAACAUGCAGCAAGGCGUUACCAAGCGAACACAGAUACAUGUUUCUUUGUUUGGAUGAGGAUGUAUGGUGAAAAACAGCAGUGUGCGGUAUUCACGUGGGACAUCUGUGGAUUCAGCUGUAGACAGAACAUUCUGUAGAGACAGGCUUUCCAGUCCCCAGGCUCCAGAGCUACAUCCUUGGAGUUCACCUGGGAAAAGGAAAAACAAGCACGUCGUGCUUCCUCUCCAUACACUCUGGGGACAGACCACUUCCAGUCACAGCAACACCCUCGAGAGGAACACAUGAUGC
This is a long non-coding RNA of Alosa alosa (allis shad), 465 nucleotides long. RefSeq lists it as uncharacterized. The record is from RefSeq and is a predicted model, not a curated record. NCBI's taxonomy places the organism in Eukaryota, Metazoa, Chordata, Actinopteri, Clupeiformes, Clupeidae. The transcript has 3 exons.